CACCGCUAGCGCCUCUGAACCUCGCCAGGCACGUCCGGUUCUGCGGCCCCCACUCCGCCCCCGCCUGCCGGGAGCCGCGCAGUUACAAAGUGCCGGGAGCCGUGCAGGGCCAGUGAACCCCUCGCUGAGACUCAGUUUGCUGCCAUCACAAGUGCUCUGAGAAUCCUGGAGAGGGAGGAUAUUGGAGACAAACGGGACUGCUGCCCGCCUUUUAGGCGACCGUUGGAGGCUGCUCUGUGCCGGACACAGGCAGGCUCCCACAGCUCAGAAGUCAGCGGAGCAGAGUCCCCAGGAAACCAGGGUCAGGGAUGGAGGCUGCUGAGGAGCGGGUCUGGGAGGUGGAGGCCAGAUACAAGAAAACCACAGUACCAGUAAAUGACAAAGGCUGGAUCUUAACCCAAGUCCUCCGACUCUGAAGGCCAUACCCAACAGGUCCCAUUUUAUUUGUUUUACUUUUUUUUAAUUGAAGAAAAAAAAACUAGCAUUCCCCUACAGUGCCCCCCACCUGGUGGGGACAUCUUGGGUUGGCAAGGCCACCACUUUCAAGAGUAGAAGUGUUUUUCAGCAGGAGGAGUUGGCUGCACCAAAGGAGCUCAGGAGAAGCUGGAGUCUCAGGCCCAGCAGGAACAGCCAGAGGUUUUGCAGCUUUGCCCAGCGGCUGGGUUCGCCGAAGGGUCUCCCUGGGGGUUCCCAGCAUGAGCCGAAGCCACCCUCCCCUGUGGGAUCUGUGAGGCCAGGCAUUGGGCCUCUUUAGGCCUCAGUUUCCUCCCCUGUCAUAGGCAACUGACAGUCCCUCUGGAGCGCCACUGGGGCUGCAGAGGGAGGCCGGAGAGAUGGUGCCCCCCCUCCUCCCCGCCACCCCCACACACAGCCCUCAGCAGGAUGGUGGCUGCCUGGCCGAUUGCUUUUGCAUUUGCAGCAGAGCGGGGGAGUGAGGCCAAGCUGAGUGCCCCCUCCCCCUGCCCAGCCAGCUCAGACCCAGGCGGUGGAGCAGGAAGGCUCUGGGGAAAACAGUGUGAGUCACCGGGCGGCCAGAGUGUGUCCUUCCCUGCUAGCGCACUACACGGCAGGUUUCAUAGCUUGACAGCAAAGUGUUUGAAAACGAAGAGCAGGAAUUCCGCGGUUCCUGCCCGGCCUCGCCAUCCAGCUG
This 1150-nucleotide long non-coding RNA is filed under the name Homo sapiens (human). RNAcentral's name for it is "HSALNT0379310". The record is from RNAcentral. Lineage: Eukaryota; Metazoa; Chordata; Mammalia; Primates; Hominidae.